CAUGUAGGUGGAUUAAUAAGUUUGAAGUGAAAUCCUAUAGCUUAACUAUAGAACUGCUUUGAAAACUGUUAAUCUAGAAUGUGGGAGAGGUAGAUGGAAUUUCUGGUGUAGGGGUAAAAUCCGUAGAGAUCAGAAGGAAUACCGAUUGCGAAGGCGGUCAACUGGACGAUAACUGACGCUGAGGCGCGAAAGCGUGGGGAGCAAACA
RNAcentral lists this ribosomal RNA (207 nucleotides) under uncultured bacterium. Its description in RNAcentral is "partial 16S ribosomal RNA". It matches the Rfam family "Bacterial small subunit ribosomal RNA", at positions 568 to 774 of the family's 1533-position model. The record is from RNAcentral.